RNAcentral lists this transfer RNA (69 nucleotides) under Acropyga kinomurai. RNAcentral describes it as "tRNA-Asp". Lineage: Eukaryota; Metazoa; Arthropoda; Insecta; Hymenoptera; Formicidae. The record is from RNAcentral.
AAAGAAUUAGUUUAAAAAAUAACAUUAAAUUGUCAAUUUAAAAAUAUUUUUAUUAAAAAAUAUUCUUUA